This 72-nucleotide transfer RNA is filed under the name Marmota monax (woodchuck). RNAcentral describes it as "tRNA.Trp". Lineage: Eukaryota; Metazoa; Chordata; Mammalia; Rodentia; Sciuridae. The record is from RNAcentral.
UGGGGUGUGGCUCAGCGGUAAGGGCUUGCUUCCCACUGUGUGAGGCACUGGGUUCGAUCCUCAGCACCACAU